AAGUCGUAACAAGGUAUCUGUAGGUGAACCUGCAGAUGGAUCAUUUUGAUGAAAAACCUUUUUUUUUUUUCGUGAGGUGUGGCUCGCACCUGUCUAACUAAACCGAGCUACCAUUUUCAACACGGUUGCACGGGGUAGGCCUGUCAGAUAGCGCGCGAAUUGAUUUUCGAGGCUGGACGACCGGGUCUACCACCAACAUUUAAACACUUUUUGAUGAUCUAGGAUUUGAAGGAAGUUCAUUUUACGAUGGAACCGACUGGUAAUGCGGUCGUCUAAAUCUAAAAAAUAACUUUUGGCAACGGAUCUCUUGGUUCUCC
This 317-nucleotide unclassified non-coding RNA is filed under the name Ustilago sp. Its description in RNAcentral is "partial internal transcribed spacer region". The stretch from base 1 to 46 matches the Rfam family "Eukaryotic small subunit ribosomal RNA", at positions 1786 to 1831 of the family's 1831-position model. Lineage: Eukaryota; Fungi; Basidiomycota; Ustilaginomycetes; Ustilaginales; Ustilaginaceae. The record is from RNAcentral.